UUCCUACUCCCUCCGUCUUCGUCUCAAAAUACUUGUCAUCAAAAUGGAUAAAUAUGAUGUAUCUAGAACUAACAGAUACAUCAUAUUUAUCCAUUUUGAUGACAAGUAUUUCCGGACGGAGGGAGUACUAC
Non-coding RNA from Triticum aestivum (bread wheat), 131 nucleotides. Lineage: Eukaryota; Viridiplantae; Streptophyta; Magnoliopsida; Poales; Poaceae. The record is from Rfam.